RNAcentral lists this transfer RNA (91 nucleotides) under Siphoviridae sp. ct96x5. RNAcentral's name for it is "tRNA-Ser". It matches the Rfam family "tRNA". Rfam says of the family: Transfer RNA (tRNA) molecules are approximately 80 nucleotides in length. Their secondary structure includes four short double-helical elements and three loops (D, anti-codon, and T loops). The record is from RNAcentral. Lineage: Duplodnaviria; Heunggongvirae; Uroviricota; Caudoviricetes.
GCCGGAGUGUCCGAGCGGGUUAUGGAGACGGUCUUGAAAACCGUUGGCGGCGAUGAGUCGUCCCUGAGUUCGAAUCUCAGCUCCGGUGCCA